UCUCCCCAGGUGGUUCCCAUGUGCAGGCAAAGUUGAGCACCACUGCCUUCAAGCACUCGGUGAACCCAAAACUGGUCGUAAUUCAAACCAUGACUUCUCAUACUUGAGCAUGACCUCUAUAAAGAGCUUAAAUUCACGGCUCUUCCCAAACAAUCCAGCUCAAAAAUGGUGGUGUUCUGAAUGCAACCUCAUUGCAAUCCCUCCCUCCAGCCACUCUAUUCGCUCCAUGGAACCUGCGUUGUGUGUGUCCUGAUUGAUGGUAUUUCUCCUUCUUUCCUUGGGAGACAUGAGUCCUUUCUGCUGCCAGUAGAGCUCCCAGUACAUUUAUGGCUACACCUACAAUCAAUCUUUGAGUCUUCAGGGGACUCCGCUGUGACCCAUUUACUGAAGUGGAACAUACGUGAAGCUGUUUUAGAGAGAGCUCUGUCUCGUGGAAGAUACCAGCUUCAAGAUGACAGUA
RNAcentral lists this long non-coding RNA (460 nucleotides) under Equus caballus (horse). Its description in RNAcentral is "lncRNA (ENSECAG00000055473.1)". The record is from RNAcentral. Lineage: Eukaryota; Metazoa; Chordata; Mammalia; Perissodactyla; Equidae.